RNAcentral lists this ribosomal RNA (270 nucleotides) under uncultured archaeon. RNAcentral's name for it is "partial 16S ribosomal RNA". It matches the Rfam family "Bacterial small subunit ribosomal RNA", at positions 524 to 794 of the family's 1533-position model. The record is from RNAcentral.
UACGGAGGGUGCAAGCGUUGUUCGGAAUUACUGGGCGUAAAGCGCACGUAGGCGGAUUGUUAAGUGAGGGGUGAAAGCCCGGGGCUCAACCCCGGACUGCCUUUGAAACUAGGUUGCUAGAAUCUUGGAGAGGUCAGUGGAAUUCCGAGUGUAGAGGUGAAAUUCGUAGAUAUUCGGAAGAACACCAGUGGCGAAGGCGACUGACUGGACAAGUAUUGACGCUGAGGUGCGAAAGCGUGGGGAGCAAACAGGAUUAGAAACCCUAGUAGU